RNAcentral lists this ribosomal RNA (944 nucleotides) under uncultured bacterium. Its description in RNAcentral is "bacterial SSU rRNA". It matches the Rfam family "Archaeal small subunit ribosomal RNA", at positions 1 to 925 of the family's 1478-position model. The record is from RNAcentral.
UUCCGGUUGAUCCUGCCGGACCCGACUGCUAUUGGGGUGAGGCUAAGCCAUGCGAGUCAGCGCUUCUAACCAUGAUGAGGCGCGGCAUACGGCUCAGUAACAUGUGGUCAAUCUACCCUCAGGACGGGGACACCCUCGGGAAACUGAGGCUGAUCCCAGAUAGAUAAUGGAUCCUGGAAUGGUUCUUUAUCCAAAUGAUACGGAGCUCAUGUGUUUCGUGUCGCCUGAGGAUGAGACCGCACCCUAUCAGGUAGUUGGUGGGGUAACGGCCCACCAAGCCUAUAACGGGUACGGGCCCUGAGAGGGGGAGCCCGGAGAUGGGUACUGAGACAAGGACCCAGGCCCUACGGGGCGCAGCAGGCGCGAGACCUCUGCAAUGCGCGAAAGCGCGACAGGGCCACCCCGAGUGCUAGACGCUGAGUCUAGCUUUUCCUUAGUGUAGUAAGCUAGGGGAAUAAGCGGGGGGCAAGCCUGGUGUCAGCCGCCGCGGUAAUACCAGCUCCGCGAGUGGUCGGGACGAUUAUUGGGCCUAAAGCGUCCGUAGCCGGCCUAGCAAGUCUCUGGUUAAACUUCAGGGCUUAACCUUGAGAUUGCUGGAGAUACUGCUUGGCUAGGGGGCGGGAGAGGUUGAGGGUACUUCACGGGUAGGGGCGAAAUCCUAUAAUCCGUGAAGGACCACCAGUGGCGAAGGCGCUCAACUGGAACGCGCCCGACGGUGAGGGACGAAAGCCAGGGGAGCAAAGGGGAUUAGAUACCCCCGUAGUCCUGGCUGUAAACGAUGCGGGCUAGGUGUUGGGUUGGCUUCGUGCCAACUCGGUGCCGCAGUGAAGGCGAUAAGCCCGCCGCCUGGGAAGUACGGCUGCAAGGCUGAAACUUAAAGGAAUUGGCGGGGGAGCACCACAAGGGGUGAAGCCUGCGGCUUAAUUGGAUUCAACGCCGGAUAA